This 489-nucleotide ribosomal RNA is filed under the name uncultured bacterium. RNAcentral describes it as "partial 16S ribosomal RNA". It matches the Rfam family "Bacterial small subunit ribosomal RNA", at positions 30 to 507 of the family's 1533-position model. The record is from RNAcentral.
UUGAACGCUGGCGGCAGGCCUAACACAUGCCAGUCGAACGGUAACAGGAAACAGCUUGCUGUUUCGCUGACGAGUGGCGGACGGGUGAGUAACGUCUGGGAAACUGCCUGAUGGAGGGGGAUAACUACUGGAAACGGUAGCUAAUACCGCAUAACGUCGCAAGACCAAAGAGGGGGACCUUCGGGCCUCUUGGCAUCGGAUGUGCCCAGAUGGGAUUAGCUAGUAGGUGGGGUAACGGCUCACCUAGGCGACGAUCCCUAGCUGGUCUGAGAGGAUGACCAGCCACACUGGAACUGAGACACGGUCCAGACUCCUACGGGAGGCAGCAGUGGGGAAUAUUGAACAAUGGGCGCGAGCCUGAUGCAGCCAUGCCGCGUGUAUGAAGAAGGCCUUCGGGUUGUAAAGUACUUUCAGCGGGGAGGAAGGAAGUAAAGUUAAUACCUUGGCUGAUUGACGUUACCCGCAGAAGAAGCACCGGCUAACUCCGUG